GAUCCUGGCUCAGGAUGAACGCUAGCUACAGGCUUAACACAUGCAAGUCGAGGGGCAGCAUGACCUAGCAAUAGGUUAAUGGCGACCGGCGCACGGGUGAGUAACACGUAUCCAACCUACCGGUUAUUCCGGGAUAGCCUUUCGAAAGAAAGAUUAAUACCGGAUAGUAUAGCGAGAAGGCAUCUUUUUGUAUUAAAGAAUUUCGAUAACCGAUGGGGAUGCGUUCCAUUAGUUUGUUGGCGGGGUAACGGCCCACCAAG
This 260-nucleotide ribosomal RNA is filed under the name uncultured bacterium. RNAcentral's name for it is "partial 16S ribosomal RNA". It matches the Rfam family "Bacterial small subunit ribosomal RNA", at positions 15 to 272 of the family's 1533-position model. The record is from RNAcentral.